GUGCCAGCAGCCGCGGUAAUACGGAGGGUGCAAGCGUUAAUCGGAAUUACUGGGCGUAAAGCGCGCGUAGGUGGCUUGAUAAGCCGGUUGUGAAAGCCCCGGGCUCAACCUGGGAACGGCAUCCGGAACUGUCAGGCUAGAGUGCAGGAGAGGAAGGUAGAAUUCCCGGUGUAGCGGUGAAAUGCGUAGAGAUCGGGAGGAAUACCAGUGGCGAAGGCGGCCUUCUGGACUGACACUGACACUGAGGUGCGAAAGCGUGGGUAGCAAACAGGAUUAGAUACCCUGGUAGUCCACGCCGUAAACGAUGUCGACCAGCCGUUGGGUGCCUAGCGCACUUUGUGGCGAAGUUAACGCGAUAAGUCGACCGCCUGGGGAGUACGGCCGCAAGGUUAAAACUCAAAUGAAUUGACGG
Molecule: ribosomal RNA, 412 nt
Filed under: Halomonas sp.
Lineage: Bacteria; Pseudomonadati; Pseudomonadota; Gammaproteobacteria; Oceanospirillales; Halomonadaceae
Description: bacterial SSU rRNA
Rfam family: Bacterial small subunit ribosomal RNA
Source: RNAcentral